CUCGAAAAUUUAAAUUGUUCAAAAAAAUAAAAGUAUAAUGAUUAGUUCUAACAAAUGAAAAAUAGAGAAAAAAUAAGUUAAAAGAAAUAGAGAAGGGAGAAAAAUAGAGAGAGAAGCAGGAGAGAAUGGAAAAAAAAUGAAAGUUAAAACAACAUAAAAGAAAAAAAAAUUAAAUUGUUCAAAACGAAAAAAUAUGGGGA
Molecule: long non-coding RNA, 200 nt
Filed under: Gossypium barbadense (sea-island cotton)
Lineage: Eukaryota; Viridiplantae; Streptophyta; Magnoliopsida; Malvales; Malvaceae
Description: long non-coding RNA (GBAR_LNC021193)
Source: RNAcentral